This 413-nucleotide long non-coding RNA is filed under the name Nicotiana benthamiana. RNAcentral's name for it is "long non-coding RNA (NBEN_LNC005895)". The record is from RNAcentral. Lineage: Eukaryota; Viridiplantae; Streptophyta; Magnoliopsida; Solanales; Solanaceae.
GAAAGAAUGUCCCAAACUGAUUUUAUGGGUUAAAAGGUGUUUGGAAAGGGACAGUGUCUCUAAAACUCUUCCUGAUUCUCAGAAAGUUUGCGAGUUUGCCUAUGAGUUUGGAGUGGAAUGAACGAGAGACCGGGAGUGAAUUCAGAAUUUAAAUUUGAUGAAUUUAAAAUAUUUGUAAUAAAUGUUUUUCCUCUGAAACAUGUCUCUUUGUUGGCUUGGGUUUAAACUUUUGUAAUUUUCUCUUCUGGCUUUUCACCUAUGUAAUAAAUGUUACUAUUCCUUUAUGAUGGGAAUGGAUCUUCUAGUAUUUCUUGAUUUCUGUCAACAAGUAAAAACAGUGUAAAACUAUUCCUCUCGCAUGUUCAACAAUGUCAAGAUCUUGCAUUUUUUUACUCUUCUUGUUUGGGAUCCUC